AGAUAAGGAGCUUGCUCCUUUGACGUUAGCGGCGGACGGGUGAGUAACACGUGGGUAACCUACCUAUAAGACUGGAAUAACUCCGGGAAACCGGGGCUAAUGCCGGAUAACAUUUAGAACCGCAUGGUUCUAAAGUGAAAGAUGGUUUUGCUAUCACUUAUAGAUGGACCCGCGCCGUAUUAGCUAGUUGGUAAGGUAAUGGCUUACCAAGGCAACGAUACGUAGCCGACCUGAGAGGGUGAUCGGCCACACUGGAACUGAGACACGGUCCAGACUCCUACGGGAGGCAGCAGUAGGGAAUCUUCCGCAAUGGGCGAAAGCCUGACGGAGCAACGCCGCGUGAGUGAUGAAGGGUUUCGGCUCGUAAAACUCUGUUAUUAGGGAAGAACAAACGUGUAAGUAACUGUGCACGUCUUGACGGUACCUAAUCAGAAAGCCACGGCUAACUACGUGCCAGCAGCCGCGGUAAUACGUAGGUGGCAAGCGUUAUCCGGAAUUAUUGGGCGUAAAGCGCGCGUAGGCGGUUUCUUAAGUCUGAUGUGAAAGCCCACGGCUCAACCGUGGAGGGUCAUUGGAAACUGGGAGACUUGAGUGCAGAAGAGGAAAGUGGAAUUCCAUGUGUAGCGGUGAAAUGCGCAGAGAUAUGGAGGAACACCAGUGGCGAAGGCGACUUUCUGGUCUGUAACUGACGCUGAUGUGCGAAAGCGUGGGGAUCAAACAGGAUUAGAUACCCUGGUAGUCCACGCCGUAAACGAUGAGUGCUAAGUGUUAGGGGGUUUCCGCCCCUUAGUGCUGCAGCUAACGCAUUAAGCACUCCGCCUGGGGAGUACGACCGCAAGGUUGAAACUCAAAGGAAUUGACGGGGACCCGCACAAGCGGUGGAGCAUGUG
RNAcentral lists this ribosomal RNA (890 nucleotides) under Staphylococcus arlettae. Its description in RNAcentral is "bacterial SSU rRNA". It matches the Rfam family "Bacterial small subunit ribosomal RNA", at positions 69 to 943 of the family's 1533-position model. The record is from RNAcentral. Lineage: Bacteria; Bacillati; Bacillota; Bacilli; Caryophanales; Staphylococcaceae.